Molecule: long non-coding RNA, 1896 nt
Organism: Suricata suricatta (meerkat)
Lineage: Eukaryota; Metazoa; Chordata; Mammalia; Carnivora; Herpestidae
Exons: 3
Source: RefSeq, a predicted model, not a curated record
AUUAAUAAACUUAAAAAAAACCCCAAAGCGAGAGAGAGUCAUCUGCUCCACUGAGUGAGCCACUCAGGCACCCCCUGCGCGCCUCCUUCAAUCAGAGCCCCAGAUGCGGCAGGCAGCCUAUCCCCAUUUCUCUGGGACUUCCCCACUUUCAGCACCGGAAGUCCCCUCUCUGAGUGGGUGGAUUUAAGCUUAGGAACCCCCCGGGCUUAUACCAAUGGGCUAACAAGGCACAGAGAAAUAAAAAGCCAUAGGAUGCUCACACCCGAGUUUGGGUAAACAUGAUUGGCACCCUGAGAAUAAGGGGGUGCUGACCCCACAGAUAGAGAGGGACGAGCAAAGGCCCAGGAUAGGAAUGGGUGCAAAGGCUCCCAAUGCAAAGGUGUAGGAGGUAAGCAAGGUUAGGCACGCAGGGCAAAAGUGCCCCCAACUUAGUCCUACAGCAGAGAAGCUGCUUUCACAGGGGAAUAGGCCCAAGUUAGGAAAACAAGUUGGACUGUAGACCCCUGGGCUGCAGUCUUGUUAACCCUGGGGUUAUUUUGGCUGUCUUCUCCUCUAGGUUAGCUAAGACAGACAGACACGCGCCUCCUGUCUGACCCUAACAACCACCUGCCCGUCUGCUGGGUACCUGGAUUGUUUUAUAAUGACCCAAACCUCAAACACUGUCUGUCUUCAACAACCCCCCUUUCCCUCAUGCCCAGAAGUUGAUAUUCUCUUCGUGCACGCCCACCACGUUUGUAAGACUUCUGAUCUUAAUGUAUACAGGGCAAGGACCCUUAUUUGGGGCUCUUGUCUUUUCCCCGACAUGAGCCAUCUCUCCUAUUUUUUAAUCCUGAGUCUACUCUCUAGCUAAGACAAGAGAGAACUUCAGACCCGUAGUCUACGACAUCUGAGGAAAUGCCUUGGUCCCUGGCAAACCGAGACAGGAGGUCACCCCUCAGAGCAUGGUACAUUUUAGCCGUAACAUUGGCUAAUGACAGAGACAAGCAACAGGAAAUCAACCAUAAGAGUCGUGCCUGGCCCGGUAACCUGCCCAGUAAGUAUUGAAGACUUGUCCUCCGUUGCAAGGAUACUGAGUAACAAAUCCUUAGAGAGAGGGUUGCAGAAUCCAGCAAGGGGCAGGUUCUGGCACCACUUUUGGCUUUCUUAAUUACUACUGAGACAGAUACAGUUUGGUGGCAUUGAGUAUACUUAUGAUACUUAUGGUGUUGGGCAGCCACCACCUGUGUCUAAUUCCAAAAUAUUUUUAUCACCCCAAAAGGAAAAACCUGUACUCAUUAAGUAGUUACUGCCCACUGCCUACCUCCCAGAGUCUGGUAACCACCAACCUGCUCUCUCUCUCCAGGGUCUGUCUCCAUGGAUGAGCCUAUUCUGGAUAUAAGUGGAAUCAGGCAAUAUGUGACCUUUUGUGCCUGGCUUCUUCCACUUAGCAUGUUUUCAAGGUUCAUCCACAUGGUAGCAUGUGUCAGCGCUGCGUUCUUCUUUGGGGGUCGGAGAGUCACAGCAUGGUCAUGACAUUGAUUGAAGGUUGGAGGAUGAAACAGGGACUGAUUUCUCAGCACCCUGAGAGGGUGUUUCGCAGGUGAAAGAACGCACGACCUUGACCUAUCUGAUUUUGACGCUGUGCUGGAUGUAAUCAGAAGGCUUCGAGGAAUAGUUUCCUGAGCUUGAUGUUCACGGGUGAAAAAUUGGAAGGGCUUUAACCGCGGGUAAAAGUGUCUUCUCACAUCAACCACACAGCAUCAGAAAUUCUGUGAACCAGACGGCUAUUUCACCAAGUGGGUUGUGUACAAAUUAGAAGCAGAUUACAAAAGGGGCUGAGCUCUGCUGAGCGCGGGAGCCAAAAACAUCAUUCUGGGGGCUCCUGGGAGGUUUCGUCGGUUAAGCGUCCGACUUCAG